Molecule: ribosomal RNA, 430 nt
Filed under: Fusobacteriota bacterium
Lineage: Bacteria; Fusobacteriati; Fusobacteriota
Description: Fusobacteria bacterium partial 16S ribosomal RNA
Rfam family: Bacterial small subunit ribosomal RNA
Source: RNAcentral
UAGGGAAUCUUCGGCAAUGGACGACAGUCUGACCGAGCAACGCCGCGUGAGUGAAGAAGGUUUUCGGAUCGUAAAACUCUGUUGUUAGAGAAGAACAAGGAUGAGAGUAGAAUGUUCAUCCCUUGACGGUAUCUAACCAGAAAGCCACGGCUAACUACGUGCCAGCAGCCGCGGUAAUACGUAGGUGGCAAGCGUUGUCCGGAUUUAUUGGGCGUAAAGCGAGCGCAGGCGGUUUCUUAAGUCUGAUGUGAAAGCCCCCGGCUCAACCGGGGAGGGUCAUUGGAAACUGGGAAAGUUGAGUGCAGAAGAGGAGAGUGGAAUUCCAUGUGUAGCGGUGAAAGUCGUAGAUAUAUGGAGGAACACCAGUGGCGAAGGCGGCUCUCUGGUCUGUAAAUGACGCUGAGGCUCGAAAGCGUGGGGAGCAAACAGG